GCACCGGAGAGGCUUGCAGUCAUGUCGCAGCUCUGUUGUUCAAAGUGGAAGCCGCAGUGAAGCUAGACCUGACCAACCCAUCCAAAGCCAGAGCUGCCUGUGUCUGGAACCGUUGCUACAGAGAGAAGGUAGCUGCAGAACUUUUGAGUGCGAUGAACUUCAGCCAACCAAAGCACGGCAAAGUCCCCAAGAGAAAACCCAGACCCGCGCCAGACACAGACCAGCGUUAUAGAUAAUUUUUGACCCAUGGGGGUAAAUACCCCCACUUUUCAAAGCAUGGGGGUAAAUGGUCAAAUUUUGCCUUGCUUGAAGGGUAAUUUGCUAAAUGUAAAACAAGAAUAUAGCCCGGGUACAGACACACUACACUUUAAUCAUGUUAAACACGAUAAACCAUUAUCUAUGUGUAUUCCUUAUUAGUAGUAGGUUUCUUAAAGUGUUUUUGUUUUUUAACUGUCCUUGGUUUAUAGACUUCCACCACCGAGAGCCAUGGAAAUCAUUUUUUGCCAGCUUUCAACAGUUGUUUUAUUAGCGUUUAAGUGUCACUGUGUCCUUUUUUAUUUGAAAACAGAGGAAAUAAAAUCAUUCAGUAUUGGCA
This is a long non-coding RNA of Dreissena polymorpha, 595 nucleotides long. RefSeq lists it as uncharacterized. The transcript has 2 exons. NCBI's taxonomy places the organism in Eukaryota, Metazoa, Mollusca, Bivalvia, Myida, Dreissenidae. The record is from RefSeq and is a predicted model, not a curated record.